GACGAACGCUGGCGGCGCGCCUAACACAUGCAAGUCGAACGGAGCUGAGAGAAGCUUGCUUUUCUUAGCUUAGUGGCGAACGGGUGAGUAACGCGUGAGUAACCUGCCCUGGAGUGGGGGACAACAGUUGGAAACGACUGCUAAUACCGCAUAAGCCCACGAUCCGGCAUCGGAUUGAGGGAAAAGGAUUUAUUCGCUUCAGGAUGGACUCGCGUCCAAUUAGCUAGUUGGUGAGGUAACGGCCCACCAAGGCGACGAUUGGUAGCCGGACUGAGAGGUUGAACGGCCACAAUGGGACUGAGACACGGCCCAGACUCCUACGGGAGGCAGCAGUGGGGGAUAUUGCACAAUGGGGGAAACCCUGAUGCAGCGACGCCGCGUGGAGGAAGAAGGUUUUCGGAUUGUAAACUCCUGUCGUAAGGGACGAUAAUGACGGUACCUGACAAGAAAGCACCGGCUAACUACGUG
RNAcentral lists this ribosomal RNA (468 nucleotides) under uncultured bacterium. RNAcentral's name for it is "partial 16S ribosomal RNA". It matches the Rfam family "Bacterial small subunit ribosomal RNA", at positions 28 to 507 of the family's 1533-position model. The record is from RNAcentral.